AUGGAUGAGGUCACAAGGGAUAUACAAGGAGAUAUCCCAUGGUGUAUGCUCUUUGCGGAUGAUGUGGUGCUAGUUGACGAUAGUCGGACGGGGGUAAAUGGGAAGUUAGAGUUAUGGAGACAAACCUUGGAAUUGAAAGGGUUUAGGCUUAGUAGAACUAAAACCGAGUACAUGAUGUGCGGUUUCAGUACUACUAGGUGUGAGGAGGAGGAGGUUAGCCUUGAUGGCCAGGUGGUACCUCGGAAGGACACCUUUCGGUAUUUGGGGUCAAUGUUGCAGGAAGAUGGGGGUAUUGAUGAAGAUGUGAACCAUCGAAUCAAAGCCGGAUGGAUGAAGUGGACCAAGCUUCUGGCAUUCUAUGUGACAAGAGAGUGCCACAAAAGCUAA
This 387-nucleotide ribosomal RNA is filed under the name Triticum aestivum (bread wheat). RNAcentral's name for it is "partial small subunit ribosomal RNA". Lineage: Eukaryota; Viridiplantae; Streptophyta; Magnoliopsida; Poales; Poaceae. The record is from RNAcentral.